RNAcentral lists this microRNA precursor (74 nucleotides) under Myotis brandtii (Brandt's bat). RNAcentral's name for it is "mir-9193 microRNA precursor family". It matches the Rfam family "mir-9193 microRNA precursor family". Lineage: Eukaryota; Metazoa; Chordata; Mammalia; Chiroptera; Vespertilionidae. The record is from Rfam by way of RNAcentral.
GGGGGAUAGGGGGCGUCCCUCAGCCUGGAUUGUGAGAGGGUGCAGGCCAGGCUGAGGGACCUCACCAGUGCACA